GGGGAAUCUUCCGCAAUGGGCGCAAGCCUGACGGAGCAAGACCGCGUGGGGGAGGACGGUUUGUGGAUUGUAAACCCCUUUUCUCAGGGAAGAAGGACUGACGGUACCUGAGGAAUCAGCAUCGGCUAACUCCGUGCCAGCAGCCGCGGUAAUACGGAGGAUGCAAGCGUUAUCCGGAAUUAUUGGGCGUAAAGCGUCCGUAGGUGGUUCAUCAAGUCAGUUGUUAAAGCGUGGGGCUCAACCCCAUAAGGCGAUUGAAACUGGUGGACUAGAGUUUGGUAGGGGUCAGGGGAAUUCCUAGUGUAGCGGUGAAAUGCGUAGAUAUUGGGAAGAACACCGGUGGCGAAAGCGCCUGACUGGGCCUGAACUGACACUGAGGGACGAAAGCUAGGGGAGCGAAAGGGAUUAGAUACCCCAGUAGUC
This 423-nucleotide ribosomal RNA is filed under the name uncultured cyanobacterium. Its description in RNAcentral is "bacterial SSU rRNA". It matches the Rfam family "Bacterial small subunit ribosomal RNA", at positions 356 to 795 of the family's 1533-position model. Lineage: Bacteria; Bacillati; Cyanobacteriota. The record is from RNAcentral.